RNAcentral lists this ribosomal RNA (467 nucleotides) under uncultured bacterium. RNAcentral's name for it is "partial 16S ribosomal RNA". It matches the Rfam family "Bacterial small subunit ribosomal RNA", at positions 28 to 507 of the family's 1533-position model. The record is from RNAcentral.
GACGAACGCUGGCGGCGUGCUUAACACAUGCAAGUCGAACGGUGAUGCUCCAGCUUGCUGGAGUGGAUCAGGGCGAACGGGUGAGUAACACGUGAGCAACCUGCCCCAGACUCUGGAAUAGGCGCUGGAAACGGCGUCUAAUACUGGAUACGAAACUGGCCCGCAUGGGCAUGGUUUGGAAAGUUUUUCGGUUUGGGAUGGGCUCGCGGCCUAUCAGCUUGUUGGUGAGGUAAUGGCUCACCAAGGCGACGACGGGUAGCCGGCCUGAGAGGGCGACCGGCCACACUGGGACUGAGACACGGCCCAGACUCCUACGGGAGGCAGCAGUGGGGAAUAUUGCACAAUGGGCGAAAGCCUGAUGCAGCGACGCCGCGUGAGGGAUGACGGCCUUCGGGUUGUAAACCUCUUUCAGCAGGGAAGAAGCGAAAGUGACGGUACCUGCAGAAGAAGCACCGGCUAACUACGUG